GCCAGUGCUGCUGGUGCCGGAGUCCGGAAGCUGACGGCGUUGCCUAGGCUGGAUUGCAGCGGUGCGAUCAGGACUCAUUGCAUCCUCAACCUCCCCGACUCAAGCAGUCCUCCCACCUCAGCCUCCUGAGUAGCAAGGCUACAGGUGUGUGCCACCACGUCUGGUAAUUUUUUCUACUUUUUUUGUGUAGAGACGAGCUCUUGCUAUGUUGCUUAGACUGGUCUUGAACUCCUGGUCUCAAGUGAUCCUCCCACCUUGGCCUCCCAAAGUGCUGGGAUUACAGGCGUGAGGCACCAUGCCUGACCCAUUUGUUUUCUUUGACUUGUGUUAGAGCAUCCUAGUCUAAAGAAAAAGUGGCCACACAAUGUUCUUUAUGUGGACUUCUGCAGGAAUGGUCCUCUCACCCAGUCACCCAGUCCUGGCAAUUUGCUGCCAUUUUUUUUGGUCAUUUUUCCUGGCUAAGUCUAGUUCCAGCUCCAGAGAUUAGAAUAUGAAAGGAUUAACCCCCCAAAAUGGGAUGGAGGGAUGAAUGAGUUGAAAGUUUUUGUUUCCCUUUUCCAAACACUGAGUUGGCUCUCAUCAGCACAGCUGUCUCUGGGGAUGUAUAAAGCGUAAUUAAUACAUUUUAAAUGUUUGGUUUCAACUUUUUUUGCUAGUGAGAUAAGAUAAGGAGUUUUUGUCAUGACAAGGGAAGGGGUGGAUUUCUUUCUAUCAUUUGCAGGAGUGGGUACCACUUGGAUCCUGUAGGUAGACAGUUGCAUGAGAUGAUAAACUUUAUAGGGGGCAUGGAAGAAAGCCAGUGGAGAUGGGGAAGGAAUGGCUAGACUCUUUAGCUUCCUGACAACCAGAGGGGGAAAAUGAACUUCCAGAGAAUUUGGGUUUUGCCUUAAAUAUUGAAAUUUGCUUGGGCAUUUGGUCCACUUCUUAAUUAACCUGGGUCCAGAACUGAAUGUCUUUGCAGUCGGAGCUCAGAAUUGCUUUGGUAUCUCACAGUACACAUAGCAUUUCCCUGUUGGUGUACGGUAGGCCAAGGACCAGAGCAUGUGUUGUGCUGUAGCCAAAAGGAAUAGUCUCCAUGACCUUAUCGUUGGAGAGAUCAUUGGACACUGAAAUAGUUGAGCAUGGACACUCUAAGAUGGGUGGAAAUACUAGAAGAGUUAUUAUUAGCAGAGGGAUCUAUGUAUCCAUAAGAUCCAUAUUUUUAAUUAUAAUGUUCAUAUCUUCUAUAUUCUUUUUAAUAAAUGGUGCUGGGAAAACUGGCUAGCCAUAUGUAGAAAGCUGAAACUGGAUCCCUUCCUUACACCUUAUACAAAAAUUAAUUCAAGAUGGAUUAAAGACUUAAACGUUAGACCUAAAACCAUAAAAACCCUAGAA
RNAcentral lists this long non-coding RNA (1374 nucleotides) under Homo sapiens (human). Its description in RNAcentral is "PREDICTED lncRNA (TCONS_00156828)". The record is from RNAcentral. Lineage: Eukaryota; Metazoa; Chordata; Mammalia; Primates; Hominidae.